Long non-coding RNA from Cyanistes caeruleus (blue tit), 655 nucleotides. Lineage: Eukaryota; Metazoa; Chordata; Aves; Passeriformes; Paridae. The record is from Ensembl.
UCCCUGACACUUGUGUCAUUGCACUUCCAAAGGGCAAGGAAACUCUGCACUGGUCUGCAUUCCUCUCCAGGGUGCAUCUUACAGAUAAAUCCUUUCCACCUGCUGGUUUUCUUUGAAGACAAUGGACAGUGACUGGUAAAGGGUAGCUCAGUGCUUAUCCUGGAUGCUCAGACAUGCCAUGAUCAUGACGAGCAGAACAAUCUUCAUUUCUUGGAAAGCAGAGACAUUAUUCAUUGUAGAAGGCACAAGAAUAUUUGAUCUGUAGACAAACCAGUGGACUGAAAGAGUCUUCACCCUUUUCCCAGGAGGAUGUCCUAACCAUGCAGGAAGGAACUGGAAGCCAUGUUGGACAGUUUCACUUUCUGCAAGGAGAAAAAGACAGUGAAGAAAACUGACAGCCAGAAAAAUGAGACAAACUACUUAGUAAUUUUCAUCUCGAAUUGGAUCAUGGCCUUCAGCAAGUAAUUUCAGUUCAGCAAGCCUGCACAGAUUGAAGAAAGGUUCUUGAAGCAUGUGAAACUCCCAAAGCUGAAGAUUUGUUAAGAAAGCUUUCUGAAUCACUCUGAAUAAGUAAGGAGUCUAUGAACCUUUCCUGAACAAACUCCUUAAAUUUAUUCAAGUAAUGAUGCCAAAUAAAGAAUUAAAUGCUUACUGC